RNAcentral lists this ribosomal RNA (369 nucleotides) under uncultured bacterium. RNAcentral describes it as "bacterial SSU rRNA". It matches the Rfam family "Bacterial small subunit ribosomal RNA", at positions 282 to 663 of the family's 1533-position model. The record is from RNAcentral.
GGUAGCCGGCCUGAGAGGGNGACCGGCCACACUGGGACUGAGACACGGCCCAGACUCCUACGGGAGGCAGCAGUGGGGAAUAUUGCGCAAUGGGCGAAAGCCUGACGCAGCRACGCCGCGUGAGGGAUGACGGCCUUCGGGUUGUAAACCUCUUUCAGCAGGGACGAAGCGAAAGUGACUGUACCUGCAGAAGAAGCGCCGGCUAACUACGUGCCAGCAGCCGCGGUAAUACGUAGGGCGCAAGCGUUGUCCGGAUUUAUUGGGCGUAAAGAGUUCGUAGGCGGUCUGUCGCGUCGGAAGUGAAAACCCGGAGCUCAACUCCGGGCCUGCUUUCGAUACGGGCAGACUUGAGUGUUGCAGGGGAGACUG